This is a long non-coding RNA of Dreissena polymorpha, 676 nucleotides long. RefSeq lists it as uncharacterized. The transcript has 4 exons. The record is from RefSeq and is a predicted model, not a curated record. Lineage: Eukaryota; Metazoa; Mollusca; Bivalvia; Myida; Dreissenidae.
UGGCAGUCAUCAUCAACACAUCUGCAGGCUCCACAGUCACAGACUAAAAGUUCAAGUAUAGAACAAGUUCCUUCUGUGAACCUCACUCAGUCUGGACGUGUUCGUGUUUCUCGUGUUGCCCCAUCAUCCACAGUCCGAGACAUUUUCAAGGUUGUGACUGAAGGCCUUGUUAUGAGGGUGUUUUGCAGACCAGUGAUUGUCGGCCUUGGGAUUUUCAAGAAAAACUGUAGACUGCCCCUAAAAAUACAAUCCAAGGGAAGUAGCUUAAAGCUUAAAAGGGAGAUAAUUUCUUUACCUGCCAAAUGAUAUAUUGAAAUUUUAUUUCAAAGCGGCGCAAUAGGGGGCAUCGUGUUUCUGACAAACUUAUCUAUUUUUCAAGUUUGUAGUACAAAAUAGCUGUAUCUAUGGUUAUGAUGAUAUUUGUUAUUAUUUCAGGAGCAAAGACUGGUCUGGUUGCUGUUGCGGCAAAAGUUGCAGUACUCAGACAGCAGACAUCAAUAACACCAGCAACAUCACCUGACCAAGAACAAGAGACGAAUGUUUGCAUUACUGGUGACUGGAAGAAGUCUCUGCCUAAGGCUGAUCACCAGUGGAUCGCCAAGGCAUUCUUCAGUUGGACCAAGAAAGAAGGGAUUCAGCUUAACGGCUCCAUCCUAGACUUUGGUGGCAUCCCCCU